RNAcentral lists this long non-coding RNA (1993 nucleotides) under Homo sapiens (human). RNAcentral describes it as "HSALNT0021210". Lineage: Eukaryota; Metazoa; Chordata; Mammalia; Primates; Hominidae. The record is from RNAcentral.
AUCCCUGAGCCCUAGGAUUAAAAGUCAAGACAAAAGCCCGCUGGCCUUGGGUGACCCUCUCUGUCCUGGGAUUCCUGUACUGCUACUCCCACGUGGGCAUUGCCUGGGCCCAGACCUACGCCACGGACUAAUGCUGUUGGGCCCAGGCCAGUCCUUGUUGCUGGCCUCCAAGGCAAAUAGUGCUUCACCCUGACCUCUCACUCCAGGACAGCCUCUAAGGGAUUUGAUCUGCUCAUCUUCAGUUGAAUGCCCUCACUCCAAGACUGGAUGCUGGAUCUCAUAGAAAAUUCACAGCCAGACAAUCUUCUAAUCUGGAGUCUUUGAGAUCUUCUACCCCAACUCAUCAUUUUCCUAUUGAGGAAACGGGUCCAGGGCAGUCGUGUGUCUUACCCAGCUACACAGGGUGACAUUUUGGUCUAGAACCUAGUCUCAUGAGCCCUUUGCAUUCUUUCCCCUUAAGCAAGAAUAGAAUGUAGUGGAAAUUUAUUGAUUGAGACACAGAAAUCCUGAUUAGUGAUAGGCCUGUCUUCUGGGCAAUAUUUCUAAAAUAUUUGAGUGACAUUGAUGUUUAAGUGACCUCCUUCAUCACAUCCUGCAGUAUCUCCAGAAGCAGCACUAGGGUUUGAGUUUCAUGCUUCAGCCCCUCUGUAGGAAUGAGACCAAGCCACAGCUGUCUUUUGAAUUACGUAGUCGAAGAAGACGGUAGCAGCCCUGUAGCAUUCUAAGGCAUCUAUACCCAAGGAGUCCUGUGAUCUGAGCUUCAGCAGGGUGAUCUACAUUUGGGUGCUUGUUUCUGAGAUUUGCAGAGAAGUAUAACAUGGUAGUUCCUCUACCUUACAGUUAAUCGUUUCUUAAUAAAGAAGCAGAAUUUAGAAACCACAGGAUAGUGUACCCACAGAUGGGUGUUAUCAAGGCCAGUCAUGAGGAUGGUGUCCUGGAGUCUUGUCCACCCUCUCCAUACAAGUCUCAAAAGUCAUCCUCCUACUCAGUGAUUCACGUUUAGUGGUUUAUAUUAUUAAGGUUUGAUUCAAACAGAGCCUUUUCUGUCCUGUAGAUAAUCUACAUGUUUGUAGAAUUAUUUUGAAUAUGUUUGAGGAAAAUGUUUAAAAUCUAAAUAUACUCACAUAACUUGAUUAUUCACUCCUCUGAAAAGAUGCUGGAUAGGCUACCAAAGUUCCCAAGUGGUAGAUAAUUCAGAAGACUUGUUUGAAUUUGGAUUUUUUUUUUUUUUGGAGUGGGGAAGGGUAUAAAGGAGGCUUAAAAUUUGAAUCCAUAAUAUAUCUAAUUACAGGAGAAUUUACAACAUCUCAAGUACGUAAAUUAAGUUGUCAUUGAGUGAAAGGUUCACUUGGACCUAGUGCUGCCUCCUGUUUAUUACAUAGCAUGGCCCUUAUGUCUUGAGUUGAGGUUAUCAUCUCAAUGAGGCUUUAGCUCCUAGAGUACAGGACCAUUUUGUUGAUUGUCUUUCUUCAUAGCUUCUCUGCUUGGCAAAGAGAUGGGAGGGGGCCAGAUACUGACUACCUGGGGUAGGCACAUUAUGUGUUAAAGCAAGACAGAGGCCAGAGAGGGGCAGGUAGACCUGCAUAGCAGCAGCCUCAGCAGCUGUCUUGGUAAAGGAGAGAGAGAGACAUGGGGCCAGUAAUUCCGGGGUGCUCAGAAGUUUUAGGAGGGGAUGAGCCUCAGGGAGGAGUGAGCACCUAAAUGAACGCAGUAAACCUUCAUGGACCAACAGUGAUUGAGGAUUUGUGGGCAGCCAGAGGGAGUCUGACUGAAGUUUACUUGGAAAGAAAGGGCUUGCUAAGAAAAAAGGGAGUAAAAAUGAUGAUAGGGAAGUGUCUAAUGUAUGUGCACAUAUAAGUAAUACAAAAGUUUUGAGCUCUUCCAAGUAUACCAUUUAUAUACAAACAAAUAGGUUUAUUCAUUCAUUAAACUACUUUGGAAGCGUCAGUGGAUAUAUUUGAAAGUGGUAAUCCUGAAUCUCUUUUAAACUAUU